AGCCGUCGUGACGUCACGAACCCAAGCGCUGCCAAGGAAACAGCCCCGCCUCUUCAGACGUGACACGUGAUGUGGUUGCCAUGUCUGCUAAGGGCAGCCUGUCCUUGUGAUGAUCUCCUGUAUGUAGCCCAUCAACUUACUGGUCCUGGUCAGGGAUCGCAAUUUUACUGGUCCUGGUGAGGGGUCGCAGCGAUGUUCUGUGGAGUGGACCAUCACUUGUGCUUGUUUCCGAAGGUGGGGGCCAGAGCGCCCGCAGUGUUCAUGAAAACGCUUGACGUAUUUGCUUAGGCAACAAGGACUUCAAUAACAACUCUGUCCGAGAAAUAACAGGAUUCCCCCUCUACCCCUCCUUAAUCCAUCUGUGGUCAGGAAGAAAUGAGCAAUCACCUUCUCAUAUAUCUUUAACUACUUGUGCAAUGUGCCACAGUGGCUUAAGUCUGAAAUUUCCCUACUUCCAACUUGUAAUUUCCAAAUUCAACCACUGUAUACUGUUGAAAUGAAAACUAUGAAAAACCAAUGUCCUAUCCAAGAAGAAAAUAAUCAGAAAAUGCUGUAGUUUUUCAUUCAUUCUGAGUGGAAAGAAAGGUCAGAUUUCACUGUGUUUCCAUAGCAGCUCAUCUGAAAAUCCCAUAUCCGAGCUCACAUUUUCAGCUGAAACAGCAGUCACUGAACAGCUUGAUGAC
Molecule: long non-coding RNA, 683 nt
Organism: Hyla sarda
Lineage: Eukaryota; Metazoa; Chordata; Amphibia; Anura; Hylidae
Exons: 3
Source: RefSeq, a predicted model, not a curated record